This 195-nucleotide ribosomal RNA is filed under the name Triticum aestivum (bread wheat). RNAcentral's name for it is "partial small subunit ribosomal RNA". The record is from RNAcentral. Lineage: Eukaryota; Viridiplantae; Streptophyta; Magnoliopsida; Poales; Poaceae.
AUGGAGGGGCUCCUGCACUGGGAUUUCAACCCUGGCCUUGCAGUGGCCGAUCAGGUACGUUGUCGGUUUGGAGAGACGGUGCACUUCUCUCCUUCAUGCAAGACCAAGGAAUUUUUCUUGGUUGUCUCCUUUUCUUCAGCUUCCUUCCCCCUCAAUGAGGAAUCUGAGGGUGUGGCCCUUCAAUGCUGCAUCGGU